CUACAGCAGAGCCUGCUGUACCUGAAGGAUCCUCAGCCUGCUAUGCGACAAAAUGCUCUCUUGUUCAUUGGCUUGGCAUGGAGCUACUGGAACCCAAGUGAGGGAAGGCGGAAGAAAAUCUUCAGUUUCCUCCAUUUUUUGGAACAUGACAGUCAUCCGCUAGUCCGUAGUCAGGCAACAUUGACACUCCAGAUUCUGAGAAAACCACAGCAGCAGAAAAGGAAAGGAUGGGGCAGGCUUGUAGAACUGUGUUGCUGGCCCUGCAAUUCUCUCUUUCGUCAUAAGUCUGACUGA
RNAcentral lists this long non-coding RNA (294 nucleotides) under Chrysolophus pictus (golden pheasant). Its description in RNAcentral is "lncRNA (ENSCPIG00010013153.1)". The record is from RNAcentral. Lineage: Eukaryota; Metazoa; Chordata; Aves; Galliformes; Phasianidae.